This 311-nucleotide long non-coding RNA is filed under the name dengue virus type 1. RNAcentral's name for it is "Dengue virus 1 partial sfRNA1". The stretch from base 233 to 304 matches the Rfam family "Flavivirus DB element". Lineage: Riboviria; Orthornavirae; Kitrinoviricota; Flasuviricetes; Amarillovirales; Flaviviridae. The record is from RNAcentral.
AAGAAGUCAGGCCGGAUUAAGCCAUAGCACGGUAAGAGCUAUGCUGCCUGUGAGCCCCGUCUAAGGACGUAAAAUGAAGUCAGGCCGAAAGCCACGGUUUGAGCAAGCCGUGCUGCCUGUAGCUCCAUCGUGGGGAUGUAAAAACCUGGGAGGCUGCAAACCAUGGAAGCUGUACGCAUGGGGUAGCAGACUAGUGGUUAGAGGAGACCCCUCCCAAAACACAACGCAGCAGCGGGGCCCAACACCUGGGAAAGCUGUACCCUGGUGGUAAGGACUAGAGGUUAGAGGAGACCCCCCGCAUAACAAUAAAC